UUGCACCGGGUGGAUGAGUGGCGAACGGGUGAGUAACACGUGAGUAACCUGCCCCUGACUUCGGGAUAAGCCCGGGAAACUGGGUCUAAUACCGGAUACGACCGCCGGACGCAUGUCUGGUGGUGGAAAGUUUUUUCGGUUGGGGAUGGGCUCGCGGCCUAUCAGUUUGUUGGUGAGGUAAUGGCUCACCAAGACGACGACGGGUAGCCGGCCUGAGAGGGCGACCGGCCACACUGGGACUGAGACACGGCCCAGACUCCUACGGGAGGCAGCAGUGGGGAAUAUUGCACAAUGGGGGAAACCCUGAUGCAGCGACGCAGCGUGCGGGAUGACGGCCUUCGGGUUGUAAACCGCUUUCAGCAGGGAAGAAGCGCAAGUGACGGUACCUGCAGAAGAAGUACCGGCUAACUACGUGCCAGCAGCCGCGGUAAUACGUAGGGUACGAGCGUUGUCCGGAAUUAUUGGGCGUAAAGAGCUCGUAGGUGGUUGGUCACGUCUGCUGUGGAAACGCAACGCUUAACGUUGCGCGUGCAGUGGGUACGGGCUGACUAGAGUGCAGUAGGGGAGUCUGGAAUUCCUGGUGUAGCGGUGAAAUGCGCAGAUAUCAGGAGGAACACCGGUGGCGAAGGCGGGACUCUGGGCUGUAACUGACACUGAGGAGCGAAAGCAUGGGGAGCGAACAGGAUUAGAUACCCUGGUAGUCCAUGCCGUAAACGUUGGGCACUAGGGUGUGGGGGGCAUUCCACGUUCUCCGCGCCGUAGCUAACGCAUUAAGUGCCCCGCCUGGGGAGUACGGUCGCAAGGCUAAAACUCAAAGGAAUUGACGGGGGCCCGCACAAGCGGCGGAGCAUGCGGAUUAAUUCGAUGCAACGCGAAGAACCUUACCAAGGCUUGACAUACACCGGACCGUCCUGGAAACAGGUCCUCUUCUUUGAAGAUGGUGUACAGGUGGUGCAUGGUUGUCGUCAGCUCGUGUCGUGAGAUGUUGGGUUAAGUCCCGCAACGAGCGCAACCCUCGUUCUAUGUUGCCAGCACGUGAUGGUGGGAACUCAUAGGAGACUGCCGGGGUCAACUCGGAGGAAGGUGGGGAUGACGUCAAAUCAUCAUGCCCUUUAUGUCUUGGGCUUCACGCAUGCUACAAUGGCUGGUACAGAGAGAGGCGAACCCGUGAGGGCAAGCGAAUCCCUUAAAGCCAGUCUCAGUUCGGAUCGUAGUCUGCAAUUCGACUACGUGAAGUCGGAGUCGCUAGUAAUCGCAGAUCAGCAACGCUGCGGUGAAUACGUUCCCGGGCCUUGUACACACCGCCCGUCAAGUCACGAAAGUCGGUAACACC
This 1333-nucleotide ribosomal RNA is filed under the name Brevibacterium casei. Its description in RNAcentral is "bacterial SSU rRNA". It matches the Rfam family "Bacterial small subunit ribosomal RNA", at positions 78 to 1421 of the family's 1533-position model. The record is from RNAcentral. Lineage: Bacteria; Bacillati; Actinomycetota; Actinomycetes; Micrococcales; Brevibacteriaceae.